Molecule: ribosomal RNA, 484 nt
Filed under: uncultured bacterium
Lineage: Bacteria
Description: bacterial SSU rRNA
Rfam family: Bacterial small subunit ribosomal RNA
Source: RNAcentral
UGAACGCUAGCGGCAGGCUUAACACAUGCAAGUCGAGGGGCAGCGUGGAGCAGCAAUGCUCNGACGGCGACCGGCGGAAGGGUGCGUAACACGUGAGCGACUUGCCCGUCACAGGGGGAUAACCGGCGGAAACGGCGACUAAUACCCCCAUACGAUGCGAUGCUGCAUGGCAUUGCAUUGAAAGAUUCAUCGGUGGCGGAUAGGCUCGCGGGACAUUAGCUAGACGGCGGGGCAACGGCCCACCGUGGCGACGAUGUCUAGGGGUUCUGAGAGGAAGGCCCCCCACACUGGGACUGAGACACGGCCCAGACUCCUACGGGAGGCAGCAGUGAGGAAUAUUGGUCAAUGGGCGGAAGCCUGAACCAGCCAUGCCGCGUGAAGGACUAAGGCCCUACGGGUCGUAAACUUCUUUAGACGCAGAGCAAUAAGGUCCACGUGUGGACCGAUGAGAGUAUGCGUAGAAUAAGCAUCGGCUAACUCCGUG